Molecule: ribosomal RNA, 257 nt
Filed under: uncultured bacterium
Lineage: Bacteria
Description: partial 16S ribosomal RNA
Rfam family: Bacterial small subunit ribosomal RNA
Source: RNAcentral
GACAGAGGGUGCAAACGUUGUUCGGAAUUACUGGGCGUAAAGCGCGUGUAGGCGGCCCUGCAAGUCGGAUGUGAAAUCCCACGGCUCAACCGUGGAAGUGCAUUCGAAACUGCAGGGCUAGAGUCCUGGAGAGGAAGGUGGAAUGCUUGGUGUAGAGGUGAAAUUCGUAGAUAUCAAGCGGAACACCGGUGGCGAAGGCGGCCUUCUGGACAGUCGACUGACGCUGAGGCGCGGAAAGCGUGGGGAGCGAACGAGGA